This 444-nucleotide long non-coding RNA is filed under the name Helianthus annuus (common sunflower). The record is from RNAcentral. Lineage: Eukaryota; Viridiplantae; Streptophyta; Magnoliopsida; Asterales; Asteraceae.
UUAGACUGUCCAUGGUUAAAAAGAAAAAGUCAGCCAUACACCAAAUAAAACAUCCCUGAGCAGUGAGCAUUCAAAAUUUAAUCACACCUCCCCCUUCCCCAGAGACACCUCGCUGGGUGAUUUCAAUCUACACAAAAGGUGUUUUGGACAUUCAUUUGGAUUCUAGAAAUGGCUUAUGUUGCUGCUGGCUUAGUGGGAGCAACUUCAUCCAUCACUUGGAGUAAAUAUGCAACGGAGCUAUUUCAUUUAAAGAUGGAAUGUAAAUUGAGCGUCAAAACUAAGAAUGGCAAUUUUACAUAAGCUCAAAAUGCUCCGGAGGUCGCCCACAGUCGAGGAAUAAGAGGUUGAAGAAAAAUACACUUACAUAUAGAUAGCACUUGUGAAGAAUCUUUUAAUCCGCAAAAGUGUUACUGUAUCCUUUUAAACCGUUCUUUACUUAUUUUC